This 20-nucleotide small RNA is filed under the name Arabidopsis thaliana (thale cress). Its description in RNAcentral is "Ath_wt_06399". The record is from RNAcentral. Lineage: Eukaryota; Viridiplantae; Streptophyta; Magnoliopsida; Brassicales; Brassicaceae.
UACUUACUCCGUGAAUCGGA